GUCAAAAUAAGCGGAUAUUACUGAGCGUGUAGAAAAGGCAAAAGUGUUACAUGGGGAGUAUUGUCCUUACAUCACUGUGCUUUGUGGAGGACUCAAAUAAUCAGGUUUUUGUGUGCGUGCAGGUGUGUGACAGCCCUUCAAAGGCGGAAACAGGAUGCCUAACUUUUAAUGCUGAAAAUUAGUAAUGAAAUACAUGCAAAGCUAGGGGCUGAUAAGAUCUCUGCAAUCUCUUCCACAAUCUGCUACCCCGAAGAAAAAUGUGUUGACUUUACAGGCUUGUCCUGAACGUGCACCAGCGCCGUUCUGCCCCGGCUGCCUGCAGUAAUUAAUGGGGCCUGUGCUUGCCCAGCUGUACGUCCAUCACUGUGCUCACACUGUGCUUGGAUAUUCACCAGCCAGUGCCCCAUUGCAUACCACGAAAAAAGAGAAGCGGGGGGGGAUAAAUCGAAAAAUAACCCCCCCGUAUACACAUACAGCGGUCGGAGAGCUCUGGGGUCCCUUCCCCUUUCGUUUUGCGGGGGGGGAAGCGGGGGCGCGGUGGAGCCCGGGGCUGCGGCAGGUGCAGCGGGGGCCUCCCCCCAGGCUGGGGGCUCGGUGCCGGUGCGGGGCUCGGUGCGGGGCGGCCACGUGGAACCGCGGCGCCCGCUGCCGCCGCCGCCCCUUCCUGCUCGCCUCGCCCCGGCGAGGAGGGAGGGAAGGAGGGAGGCAGGCAGCUAACGGGGAGGAGGGGAAAAGGAAAGCGAGGAGGAGGGAAAAAAAAAAAUUAAAAAAAAAAAAAAAAGAAAAAAAAAAAAAAGAAAAAGAAGGGGGGAGGAAAAAAAAGUUUGUACGUGCAGCGGCGGGCGAGGAGCGGGGAGGCGGCGGGGCCGUGCCGAGCCGAGCCGUGCCGAGCCGGGCGGGGGGCGGAAGGCCGGCGGAGCGCGGCGGCGGGAGGCAGAGGGCGGGCGGGCGGGAGGAUGCGGCUGAAGCUGGGCUUCCUGCUGCGCGCCGUGCUGCUGGCGGGCAGCUUCUUGGGGCUGCUGCUGCUCUGGUCCUCGCUGUCGCCCCGCGCCGAGGAACCGGCUCCCCCGGGA
This 1073-nucleotide long non-coding RNA is filed under the name Anas platyrhynchos platyrhynchos (common mallard). RNAcentral describes it as "lncRNA (ENSAPLG00000022551.1)". Lineage: Eukaryota; Metazoa; Chordata; Aves; Anseriformes; Anatidae. The record is from RNAcentral.